GGUGAGCUGCAAAUGUCGUAACAAAGUACCUACUUCUCUGAUGGUUGAUGGCCUUCCUAUAGACAACUCUCGAGUGAGCAGUAGAGAAUCAUCACUUUAAAUGAACGUAGAGAUUCUUUGUUUUGUCUUAGAUCAUGUUCUCUAGAAGCAGAAACUGAGUGUAGGGUUCAGGGGCAAACAACCUUUCGAGGAAUGCUCUUCAGAAGAAGUCAGUAAGUUUAAGGAUAAGGAAGGUGGAAAAGCAGAACAAGGAUGUGAUUUCGGGUAAAAGUCUAGCCUUAGUACGAUAUAUGAGGGAGACGUCUGCCGUGUAACCUGUAAUCCUCUCUCAGAGGCUCUUGAGAAUAUUCUGGGAGCCAUUCAUCGACCACCUGCACAACGGCUGAGAGACGGAUGUGCAAGCCCAGUAAAUGAGAUGGAACAGGGUUGGGGGCAACACCUAACUUCUGCCACACUGAUUUAUAUCUCAGACUAGAAAUUCUAGUUUCUGAAUCAUGAUCCUGUUUUAUACUUCAAGUGAUUGUAAUAUUUUUCUGUAUCCUAAGUGUGCUCAGAAAAAGCGUGAGAUUGCAUUUCCAUCUGGAGCAGAGGAAGAUGUCCCCAGACUCAAAAGGACAGAGGAGUACAGAAUACAGAAGCAAAAUGAAUUUUUAUGACUAUACUUCAUGAGUCCUACAUGCUCAGUAGGCCACAUGUGUGUAUACACACAUAUAUCAUGCAUAUAUGCAUAUGUUUAUGUAUUUUAUCAUAUUUCAUAUCAUACAUACAACACAUAUGCACACCUAUAUCUUUCACCUACUAUCUCUUGUUUUAUAGCUCAGAGAAGAAUAUUACAUUCUUUCAAAGAUCUUGAAAGUAGCCACUGUUAACAUCACUAUUGUACAACACUAAAAUAUAUGUGGCUAUUAUUUCUAUAGCAAUAGUACAGAUGAUACUCAUAUUUUCUUGUCAGCAUUCUACUUCUUUGAAACAGAGAAAGUUGAAAAGAGGGCAUUUCUUUUUCUGCCAAAGAUCUGGAAACACUUUGUCCCUGGAGCGGACUUCCAGCCAAAUGAGGAUCUCCAUAGGAAUGGAAGAAAUCACACGCUCUGCUCCAGGAUCCUGUGUUUGCCAGGUCACAUUGCUUUACUUUGGAUUUCUACCAUCUGAGCGAGGGUCAGUCCAAAGGCCCGGGACCCACCGUGGUGCAGCCAACUGCUAUGUGUUGCCAGGGCAGCGUGUCCUCUUGUGUCUUGGCCAGAGAAUGAGCACAUAUUGCUAUGCACAAGAGGAAAUUGCCAGUCUGAAAAUUUCCCUUUGUGGUGUCUAAUGGAGUAAUCCAGCUGUUUGUUUUGUUUUGUUGUGGCUGCAAUUCAACCUUGAGAAAAUCUCUGAUGUGUUCCGGAAGCCUCUCUAAGGAGGAAUCAGAGGGAAGAACUGGGAUUCAUCUGGGAAGGUUGCACAGUUACACUGUCCUCCUCACCUGACAGACAAAUAAAAAAGUUAGAAACAUGAGUGAAAUUAGUAUUAUUUCCUUUUGUGGAUGUGAGCUGAACUGCUUUACAAAACUGAGUAUUUGGUACUAACCCAUUACUGGGACAAAAGUUGUAUUGCCUAAAAUCGUGGCACAACAGUUGGCUAGACCACGGUCAUUGAGAAAUGCUCCGUGUCAUCUUCCACGUGUCAGGCUGAAAACACCAAAACAAAGAAACAGAAACCAAAAUACAAGAACUGAAUUUUAUCCUGCUCUCAUAUUUCAAAUGCAUUUCAAAGUUUGGUUCCAAGUAACUGUGAAGGAGCCCUCCCAAAGGGUGAAAAGACCAGAUAUCUUGAGGCACAUCUAUAAUCCUACAGGCUAGGAAUUUCUAAUCUACAGGAAUGAAGACUUGUAAUCUGUAGCAGCGCGUCUUGCCGCCGUUGGAGCCGUCCUCUUCCUUGGGUUACCGAUGCCGUGAGCUGACGCCUCGUCCGCUUGCACCCCGCACCGCUGCUGCUCCAGUGCUGCUGCCCCCGUCACCGCCGCCCGUCCCUGCCGCCUCCAUCCGCCAUGACCCACCGCCUCCUGCCGCCACCAGCAUCGCCUCCUCCUGAUGCCCCCUAGUUAGACCAUGCGGGCCCCCAAACGCAAUUCCCAAUCACACCAAAUAUUUUAAGGAACAUAGGUAUUUUCGUUUCAGAUGCUUCUCACCUUGUGGCCUGAGUACAAUCCAAGCAUGUUCAGACACGAGCUGAGUGUUAUCUUUGGAGCAUCCUGGAACUCUCCCUCUAGUCCAGGGACCACACCCAGCUUGUGGACCUGACUUGUUCCUUGCUUAGGAUGGGCUCAGGCCCAGAGGUUCCACAGCCACUCAAAUACACAUGCCUGUUGGAUCAGCCUAGAAAUUCAUUGUAGACACUCAAGCUAGCUUUCUUUCUGCACACUUCAGGAACAUGUGCACACAUGGGUACAUGUCCUUAUUGAAAUUGCCAGAGAGAAUGCAAAACUCACAUGUUUGUGAGUUUAGUCUAUUUCCCCCUGGUACUGUGAAAUUGCUGGUAUUGUGGAAUUCUUCUGAGAAUCUAAAACCUGAUGUUAUCUCAUUUACCUUGAGGAAUAUCAGCUGGGAUAUCUCCAAAUAAUAGCUAGGCUUGUCAAGAUAGGCAGUUGUUUCUCUGUAGGGUGGAGGAAGUCUGAAGCUAGGCCAGUCCAGGCCUGGUGGUGAAGCUCUGUGAGGUCACCAGGGCCUAAACCAUAGCUCUGGUCCUCCGCCCUCAACACGCGGUGUCCACUGCAAGAACCCAGGCUGCUGCUGGAGCAUCGGGAGCUGCAUCCCAGUCAGCAGGAAAGAGGAAGGACCUAGAAAGACAUGCCCCUUCUCUUUAAGGACACUACACUCACAGAAUUUACAUGCUGGGUUUCCACUUACCUCUGAUGGGUCAGAGCUUGGCUGCAAUGCCACAUUUAGCUGCAAAAGAGGCUGGGAAAUGAACCCUUUACUGUGUGUGUCCAGGUUUCCAGCCACAUCAGCAGUUCUGCUCCCAGGAAGGAGGCCAAGAAUACAUAAUCAAAGAGAUCAGGGAGUCUCUGCAAAACAGAGAAGAUUUUUUUCCCUCCCCUUUUAUAGAUUUCAACCUGGCACAUUGAAUUGCUUGUGCCAUCCACACCAGUGUAUGUGAGAGGAUCACCUAUUGAUAAUUUAAUUCAUACUUCCAUCUCACUGCUGUUGAUGCAUUUCCCUUCCCUGUCGUGAAAAGGUAGCUCAGCUGUUGUCCCCAUGUCUAACAGGCUCUUGUGUUGUGGGAUCAAGAGCCAACAUUGACAGGUACUCAGCAGGUAAACCCGGCCUCAUCUUUUGCUUUCAUGGCAUGAACUCAUGGAAACAAUGAUAGCAAAGUCCCUGUAAUGGGAGAGGAGCUCCAAAGUUUGGGGAAAGCAGAAGUGGAUUGGAGAGAGGUGUUGAAGCUUCCUUGAGGCAGAAGGGGUCAGGGUUUGGGCUGUCUAGCAGCUAGUAGGGACCAGAGCUGCGCACUGCCUUCAGAGCACAUCCUAAGAGCAGCGGCCAUGUGUGUGUCUCAGGAAGCCCAGAUGUGAGUCGUAAAGUACCUCCCAAGGCUGGAAAUGUUUUCUCUGCUCAAGAACCCGUUUUCCAGAGAGAUGACCAGGGUGAUCCAGACAGUAGGGUGAAAGUGAAGUCGCUCAGUCGUGUCCGACUCUUUGCGAUCCUAUGGACGGUAGCCUACCAGGCUCCUCCAUCCAUGGAAUUUUCCAGACGAGAGUACUGGAGUGGGUUGCCAUUUCCUUCUCCAGGAAAAUGUAUAUUAUGGGAGUGGGUCUGGUGAAAGUGAAAGUGAGACAGUAGGGUGUCCCCUCUCUAUUCUGGUCUUACAAGUGAACUGAGACUAUCCUAUAACCCUGGAGAAGUAGAGGCAGUGCCCAAAAUGAGAUCAAGGGUGAAUUUUCCUCCACGAGCAGGUAGGAACUUAGGGAGAAUGUUUUUUUCCCAACAGAGUAUUAAUAUUUUUUAAACCACAUAUUGUCAGUUAAUAUUUAUUCCUGCUGUAAGGAUAGGGCUAAAAAUAGAACUCAGGCCUCCUGAGUAAUAACCUUGCAAUCUGCUGUUGCAGCUUUGCUGUCUCUGAAGGCCAAGGUUAGAAGUGGGAACCAUAUUGAUCACUGAAGAGUGAUUCAUCCUAACUCCUCAGCCUGCUGCCUUGGCUCAUCAUUUUUUGUUUUCCCACAUUGAUUUAAUCCUACAUAGUCGCUUUUUAGGCUAUCAACUCCUGGAAGGCAGGUACUCGGUCUAGACUAUAUGACAUGGUCCAAGGCAUGUUAUGUUGCUCACACAGUCUGUUGUUCCAUUGACCCUUCCUCAUGUCUUCAUCGUGGUGAAAUUCGUUAGGCACUCACCAUGUUUCCCCUAAUCUGGGGCUUGUUAUAGAAUUAUACGUCAGAGCCAAGUCUCCAAGGGAAACCCAAGGUGUUAUAACCAGUGAUAUUGAUGAUUUAGUAGAUGAUGUUCUUUUUCUGAACUUCAAAUGAAACCAGUGGGUUAUGAGGAUUCAUCCCUCAGCUGAGUCACAAAGACAAGUUUCUGCCCUCUUGCAGUUAAAAAUUCAUGAAGCAUUUUCAAAAGGCUGUUGAGAAUCAGGCUCAGUCACAUUCUUGCCCUUUCUAACUUAAAUAUUGUCUCUAUGACUCACUGCCUUUGGAGGUCUUCACUUUUGCCUAUGAGUUGUAAUAUGGUGUUUCCACUGAGUCAAGAAUCUGGUUAUCAUUUAGUUAAGCUAAAGAAAAAUAUAAGCAUUACAGGGAAUCAAGCAAUAAAACAAAAUAUAAACAUCAGUUCGUUUCACUGUGCUUUGCUACAAAGCUUGGCAAGCUUUGAAAAUUGGCUUGCUGGGGUUGUCUCCCCAAGGUGGAUGAACCAACAGCUAAAAUGAGGCUAGAGACAUUUGUCAGUGACUGCUUUUCCUGCCCCAUGAUAGUUCUCUCGAUCAGAGGGAACUUUGGUUUCCAACCGGAAAGGAGAAAGUGAGAGGCAAUUGAUCCCCUGACAAUGAGAGCUGAUCUGUGUCUCAUAAUUGGCCCACAUGCCACAGAUUGCUGGUGCCUACAUCUGUACCACAUUACUGGGUUUCAGAUAGCAAGUUUUGCAACUGCAAUAUUCCCUGAGAUGCCUUUGCUUUUGCUACUAUGGCAUCAGACUAUUUCCCCCUUUUGUGGCCAAGUUAUUGGAAGGAAGGCAAGGACCUUGGAGAACUUGCUUUUUCAGGAUUGUUAAUGUCUUAUAACUUCCUGCUGUCUUGCUGCUAAUAAUUC
This is a long non-coding RNA of Cervus elaphus (red deer), 5278 nucleotides long. RefSeq lists it as uncharacterized. Lineage: Eukaryota; Metazoa; Chordata; Mammalia; Artiodactyla; Cervidae. The transcript has 7 exons. The record is from RefSeq and is a predicted model, not a curated record.